This 653-nucleotide long non-coding RNA is filed under the name Medicago truncatula (barrel medic). RNAcentral describes it as "lncRNA gene10424". The record is from RNAcentral. Lineage: Eukaryota; Viridiplantae; Streptophyta; Magnoliopsida; Fabales; Fabaceae.
UUUUUUUUUGAGGGAAACAUUAUGGUGUCUUAAUUGUCAUCAAUUUAUUUUCUUGUAUUGAUCCCACCUUGGUAUUCAUGGCUACUACAUUAGAAAGAAUGAGUUACAAAAGAGAUGAGAAUAAAAACUAUGUUAAAGAGAGCUUUUAUAAAGAUGCUUUAGGGUUACUUGUAGAUUCUAAGGAUCCGGUCUAAAAGGAAUAAAAUAUUUGUGCUUUGAAAAUACGAUUUCUAUGUUGAUUGAGGAUCUGGAUUUACUGCUGUAGCAAAUUCAAACAGUGCCGCAGUAGCAAAUUUCAGCCAGCAAUCCAUGAUAUGACGGGUCCAAAUUCACAGGACAGCUGAGAUUUGCUACUGCGGCAAACUGUGUGAAUUUGCUACAGCAGCAAAUCCAAAUCCGUCGAUUGAUAUGGCUCAAAUGAUGGAUCAUCUCAUUACUCACCAUAUUUUUCCUCCACCACCACCCUAGACCACUCCUAUUAUUGUUGCUUCAUAUUUAAAGUUUCAUAUAUCUAUUUUAUUAUUUUAUGUUUGUGUAUGUUGCAUUUGAUUGUUUUGAUGUAUAAUCCCUUUUGAAAAUUUUGUAGACUAUGAUUUAUACAAAAAUUAAUAUGUACUCAAUUUCACGAGGACAUUUGAAAAUGUGUUUAAUAC